GCAGGGAAGGGCUCAGUGUUAGAGCAUCUGCUUUGCAUGCAGAAGGUCCCAGGUUCCAUUUCUGACCUCUACA
Podarcis lilfordi (Lilford's wall lizard) is the source of this 73-nucleotide non-coding RNA. The record is from the annotation of a GenBank genome assembly. NCBI's taxonomy places the organism in Eukaryota, Metazoa, Chordata, Lepidosauria, Squamata, Lacertidae.